Molecule: ribosomal RNA, 459 nt
Filed under: uncultured bacterium
Lineage: Bacteria
Description: partial 16S ribosomal RNA
Rfam family: Bacterial small subunit ribosomal RNA
Source: RNAcentral
CCUACGGGGGGCAGCAGUGAGGAAUAUUGGUCAAUGGUCGGGAGACUGAACCAGCCAAGCCGCGUGAGGGAUGAAGGUACAGAGUAUCGUAAACCUCUUUUGUCAGGGAACAAAGGCGGGGACGUGUCCCCGGAUGAGUGUACCUGAAGAAAAAGCAUCGGCUAACUCCGUGCCAGCAGCCGCGGUAAUACGGAGGAUGCGAGCGUUAUCCGGAUUUAUUGGGUUUAAAGGGUGCGCAGGCGGUUUGUUAAGUCAGCGGUAAAAGCCCGGGGCUCAACCCCGGCCCGCCGUUGAAACUGGCAGUCUCGAGUUGGAGAGAGGUAUGCGGAAUGCGCGGUGUAGCGGUGAAAUGCAUAGAUAUCGCGCAGAACUUCGAUUGCGAAGGCAGCAUGCCGGCUCCACACUGACGCUGAGGCACGAAAGCGUGGGUAUCGAACAGGAUUAGAUACCCGAGUAGUC